RNAcentral lists this ribosomal RNA (497 nucleotides) under uncultured bacterium. Its description in RNAcentral is "partial 16S ribosomal RNA". It matches the Rfam family "Bacterial small subunit ribosomal RNA", at positions 28 to 507 of the family's 1533-position model. The record is from RNAcentral.
GAUGAACGCUGGCGGCGUGCCUAAUACAUGCAAGUCGAGCGAACAGACGAGGAGCUUGCUCCUCUGACGUUAGCGGCGGACGGGUGAGUAACACGUGGAUAACCUACCUAUAAGACUGGGAUAACUUCGGGAAACCGGAGCUAAUACCGGAUAAUAUAUUGAACCGCAUGGUUCAAUAGUGAAAGACGGUUUUGCUGUCACUUAUAGAUGGAUCCGCGCCGCAUUAGCUAGUUGGUAAGGUAACGGCUUACCAAGGCGACGAUGCGUAGCCGACCUGAGGGGGUGAUCGGCCACACUGGAACUGAGACACGGUCCAGACUCCUACGGGAGGCAGCAGUAGGGAAUCUUCCGCAAUGGGCGAAAGCCUGACGGAGCAACGCCGCGUGAGUGAUGAGGGUCUUCGGAUCGUAAAACUCUGUUAUUAGGGAAGAACAAAUGUGUAAGUAACUAUGCACGUCUUGACGGUACCUAAUCAGAAAGCCACGGCUAACUACGUG